GUCCAUAUUCGCAUCGGUGAAUUUAUGUACUAAAUUUGGGGCAUAAACUGAUGAUCUCUCCAUAAAAUUAGAUAUUUUAUGUAUUUUUAUAUGUUUUUAAAAUUAGUAUAAUAUUAUUUACUGGCACCUAUGCUAUAAAAAGGCUAAAUGGUGCAUUUGGUUGAAGGUUAAGUUAUUUACCUCUAAUAUUAGGGAUCAAUUCCUACUUAAUACAUUUUUUUCUUAUUUUUUUUCCUAGUGGUGUACUUGGUUGAAGAUUAACUUAUUUACCUAGAGGAUUAGGGAUCAAUUCCCUCUUAAUACAUUAUUCCUUCUUUUUUUUUUAGUGAUGCACCCAUAUUUUAAAAAUCCUAAAUUCGCCUCGGCAUAUUCUUGUACUGCAGAGAAUUUAAAGUGCUGCCUUUGUGCUACAACUUUUGGAUAGAAUUAUGAAAAGUGCUAGUAUGCGUUUUUUUAUUUUGGUUUUUUUCCCUUCAUUUAACUUAAAUAACUUUUCUUUUUGUUUUCCAUCCGAUCCGAUGUUGGAGUCCGAUAUAUCUGGAUUAGCCAAAUGAAUUCAUACGGAGACCAAUAACUGAUCAAACUGUUGGUGCAAAAUUUUAAGGAGUUUAACUCCUAAAUUUAAUCAUGUUGUUGCUGCAAUUGAGGAGUCGAAAUACUUGUCGACUUUUUCAUUUGAUGAACUAAUGGGUUCUUUACAAUCUCAUGAGGCAAGAAUAAACAGGUCAGCAGGAAGAAAAAGCAUAUCAAUUGAAGGCGGAGGCACCAAAUUCAAGAGAACAUGAUAAGACAACAAUAGGAAGAGGACAAGGCAGAGGUGCAUUUCAUGGAAAUAGCCAUGGUCGACACCGGGGCAGAGGCUUUCAACAAUGGCACACCUAUGAGCAAAGAGGCAAUUGAAGCAACACACAAUGUCAUCAUUGCAUGAAGUUCGGGCAUAUGCAAGCAUAUAUUGCUGGUACAAGGAGAAACAAGUGAAUUAUGCCGAGACAACUAAUGAAGAAAGCAUGAAGUCAAUCUUCAAAGAGCUUGACGCGACACAAAAAACUACUGUCAAUCUUGGUGAUAACAACAACCUUCAAAUUGAAGGAAAAGGAACAGUAGGAAUCAGAAACAGUCAUGGUGAAGUAAAGCUUCUACCUGAUGUUCAAUUUGUUCCUAGUUUGGCACACAAUUUAUUAAGUGUUGUACAACUAAUGGCUAGCGGAUAUUCACUUUUGUUUGUGAUGGAGCAUGUGUUAUUAAAGAUAAAAAAAAAUAGGUCAAAUGAUGGUUUACAUGGCUGAAAACAAAAUGUUUCCAUUAGAAGUUUCAAUGUGGAAACUUUUGCUUUGGUUACUAGUGCAAGAAAUGACUCUGAGUUGUGACAUUUGAGGUACGACCAUCUUAAUUUCAAGGGGAUAAAUUUGUUCGGACAAAAAGGUAUGGUCAUUGGAUUACUAAAAAUUAAUUCUUUUGAUUCAUGCGAGGGUUUCAUUUAUGUGAAGCAAAGUAGAAAUUCAUUUUCUGUCGGAAAGUCUUGAAGAACUUCUUCUUGCUUUGGUCCAAUGAAUACUGAAUCUUUUAGUGGGAGUCGAUAUUUUUUACUCAUCACAGAUGGUUUCAGCUGCAUAAGCUGGGUGUAUUUUCUGAAAUACAAAUCAGAAGUUUUUGAGAAUUUCAGAAAAUACAAAGCUUUGGUGGAGAAUCAGAGUGGGUUGUGCAUAAAAACUCUUCGAACGGACAGAGGUGAGUUCUUAUCUAAUGAAUUUAUCUAUUUUUGUGAAGAAAAUGGAAUUCGCAGGGAACUUACAGCACCUUACUCGCCAGAGCAAAAUGGGGUAGCUGAACACAAGAAUUUUACCGUUGUGAAGAUGGCAAGAAGGUUACUGAAAGGAAAGGGACUUCCAAAAUAGUGGGCAGAAGCAGUUGCAACCUCAGUGUAUCUGCUAAACCUAUCUCCUACAAAGGUCGUGAUGAAUCAAACGCCAUAUGAAGCUAGGAAGUGUAUAAGACCUCCACUUAAGAAUUUUCGGGUGUACUGCUUAUGCUUUGGUUAACUCUCAAACUCGUCAAAAACUAGAUGAAAAAUCACAAAAAUAUAUUUUCAUCGGUUAUUGUCUUGAAUCCAAAGCAUAUAGGUUAUAUAAUCCUCUUAGUGGCAAAGUGAUAAUUAGCAGAAAUGUUGUAUUUGAUGAAAAAUCAAGCUGGAAUAGGAGUGAAAAACAAGAACAAUAGGAGAUUUCAAUACUCAUUGAAGACUCUCCAGAUGAAAGACAAGAGUCUGCCCCAAAUGCACUUAAAGGAGCAAUUGCACCAGAGAAAUCUGAGGCACUUGAAGAGCCUUCAAUUCAGCAAAUUCCGCUAAGAAGAUCAACAAGAGUAAGAAAAUCAAAUCCCAGAUAUUCUAAUGCAUUUUGUCAAUUUCCUUUAUUGUUUCAUAUCCUAUAUCUUAUGAAGAAGCAAUCGGAAAUGAAGAGUGGAAGAAUGCGAUGAAGGAAGAACUGAUGGCAAUUCACAGAAAUGAAACUUUGUCAAAUGAAAAGAAUAUUUUUGGCCUAAAGUGGAUAUUCAAAACAAAGUAUCAUGUAGAUGGAAGUGGACAACAGCACAAGGCAAGACUUGUCGCAACGGGAUACUCGCAGCACCAUGAUAUCAAUUUUGAAGAAACUUUUUCUCCUAUUACUCAAUUUGAAACAGUAAGAACAAUUUUAGCAUUAGCUGCUCAAUUGAACUGGUCACUUUAUCAACUUGAUGUUAAGUCAGCACUCUUGAAUGGUGAGGUGGAAGAGGAGGUUUGUGUUGCUCAACCUGAAGGUUUUGAAAUCAAUGGCCAAGAGGAAAAGGUGUUCAAGUUGAAGAAGGCACUUUAUGGUUGAAACAAGCGCCACACGCCUGGUAUAGCAAAAUUAAUUCCUAUUUUUUGCAAAUUUGAAAGGAGAGAAAGUGAGCCUACUCUCUACUUGAGGAAGUGAGGUUUAUGAGCAAUCCAUCGACGCAUCAAGUUGGAGCUGCAAAAAGAAUUUUACACUAUGUUGCUGGAACACUUGAAUAUGAUAUUUGGUAUUCACAUGUUUCAGAUUUUAGAUUAUUAGGCUUUACUGACAGUGAUCGGGCAGACUCGAUGAGUGAUAGGAAGAGUAUUUUAGGCAACGUUUUUAGUCUUGGAUCAGGUGCAAUAACAUAGAGUUCGGAGAAACAAGUAACAACGACAUUGCCGUCUUCAGAGGCAGAGUAUGUCGCAGCAACUUCUGCAGCUUGUCAAUGCAUUUGGCUUAGGAGAAUUUUGGCUGAUCUCUACCAGACGCAAGAGAAAGCAACUGAUAUUUUUUGUGACAAUAAAUCCUCAAUUGCAAUGACUAAGAAUCCUGCGUUUCAUGGAAGAACAAAGCAUAUUAAUAGUUGCUUCCAUUUUAUUCGUGAGCUGGUGGAGAAAGAAGAUAUCAUAUUGAAGUUUUGCAACACCAAUGAACAAGUAGCAGAUAUAUUAACAAAAGCACUGCCAUAUCAGAAUCACGUCUACUUCAGAUCAUUGCUUGGUGUUAGCGAUUUUGAAUCAAGGGGGAAUGUUGAAUAAGUGAUUCAAAAAGAAAGAGAGAAAAAAGUUACUGCAGCUUUUUUAGUAUUUUUUUAAUUGCUUUUUGACUUAGUCUAAGUUAGUUAUUAUUUGGUCCUUCAAAUUUUGAUUUCAGUUGUAAUGCACGACAGAUUUAGUGCCAAUAUUUUCUCCAUAUCUAGUGCAUUUUAGCUGAGAUAUAAUGCCUAUUUAAAGGCUUCUCUGGUGAUGAAUAAAAGUAUCCAUUGUAAUAUCA
Molecule: long non-coding RNA, 3791 nt
Organism: Lycium barbarum (goji berry)
Lineage: Eukaryota; Viridiplantae; Streptophyta; Magnoliopsida; Solanales; Solanaceae
Exons: 3
Source: RefSeq, a predicted model, not a curated record